RNAcentral lists this ribosomal RNA (802 nucleotides) under uncultured bacterium. RNAcentral's name for it is "bacterial SSU rRNA". It matches the Rfam family "Bacterial small subunit ribosomal RNA", at positions 133 to 930 of the family's 1533-position model. The record is from RNAcentral.
AUAAGGGGGGAUAACUAAUCAAAAGGGAGGCUAAUACAUGAUACGCCCUACCGGGGAAAGCAUGGGAUCUUCGGACCUUGCGUUAAUGGAGCGGCUGAUAUCUGAUUAGCUAGUUGGUGAGGUAAAGGCUCACCAAGGCGACGAUCAGUAGCUGGUCUGAGAGGACGACCAGCCACACUGGAACUGAGACACGGUCCAGACUCCUACGGGAGGCAGCAGUGGGGAAUUUUGGACAAUGGGCGCAAGCCUGAUCCAGCCAUUCCGCGUGAGUGAAGAAGGCCUUCGGGUUGUAAAGCUCUUUCGCAAGGGAAGAAAACUUACUUUUUAAUAAAUAAUGAGGUUGACGGAACCUUGAUGAGAAGCACCGGCUAACUACGUGCCAGCGACCGCGGUAAUACAUACGGUGCCAGCAUUAAUCGGAAUUACUGGGCGUAAAGCGUGCGCAAGCGGUUUUGUGAUUCAUAUGUGAAAUCCCCGAGCUCAACUUGUCAACUGCUGUUGAAACUACGACACUAAAAUAUGUAAGAGGGGGGUAGAAUUCCACGUGUAUGAGUGAAUUGCGUAGAGAUGUGGAGGAAUACCAGUGGCCAACGCAGCCACCUGUGAUACUAUUGACCCUCAUGCACGAGAGCGUGGGGAGCAAACUAGAUUAGAUACCCUGGCAGUCCACGCCCUAUACUAUGUCUACUACAUGUUGGUGGAGUACAAUCCUUGAGUAACACAUCUAACGCCUGAAAAUACCGCCUGGGGAGUGCAAGUCGCAAGAUUAUAACUCAAUGCAUUGACGGGGGCCAUCACAAGC